CCUACGGGAGGCAGCAGUGGGGGAUAUUGCACAAUGGGGGGAACCCUGAUGCAGCGACGCCGCGUGGGUGAAGAAGCGCCUCGGCGCGUAAAGCCCUGUUAGCAGGGAAGAAAAUGACGGUACCUGAAGAAGAAGCUCCGGCUAACUACGUGCCAGCAGCGGCGGGAAUACGGAGGGGGCAAGCGUUAUCCGGAUUUACUGGGUGUAAAGGGGGCGCAGACGGCGAUGCAAGCCAGGAGUGAAAGCCCGGGGCCCAACCGCGGGACUGCUCUUGAAACUGCGUGGCGGGAGUGCAGGAGGGGCAGGCGGAAUUCCGGGUGUAGCGGUGAAAUGCGUAGAUAUCAAGAAGAA
Molecule: ribosomal RNA, 351 nt
Filed under: uncultured bacterium
Lineage: Bacteria
Description: partial 16S ribosomal RNA
Rfam family: Bacterial small subunit ribosomal RNA
Source: RNAcentral